GAGAGUGGUGACUCAGAGGUUAAAGCUUUGGACUAUUGAUCAGAUGGUCGAGAGUUCGAAUCGUACCACUGCCA
Non-coding RNA from Ameiurus melas (black bullhead), 74 nucleotides. The record is from the annotation of a GenBank genome assembly. Lineage: Eukaryota; Metazoa; Chordata; Actinopteri; Siluriformes; Ictaluridae.